AGAAGUGGCUGCGAUUCUAGGAUUCCCACCUUCCGAUCUCUGGAUCUCUGUCCGUUCUGUCCCGGUCAGGUUGCUUGUGAUAGGCUGAUAAAAGUUUAUUUAUGUAAAAUCUUGUUAAUGAGAAAGUUUUGGAAGCAGGAGUAGAAAAGCAUUUGGGGAGAAAGUAAGGAAAAGAACUCAGAAUUCGGAUUGAAGGCAAAUCGUUUAAGGUCUUAGAUCUUUCAUCAGUAAAUGAGCUAGGGUUCUUAAAUGCCAGUGCUUUACUCUUACAUUGUGGUAAGGGAUGUGUUGGCGGCAGUAUACAUUUGGAAACAGUUGUCAAUAGAGGUUUGCUUUAGCAAGCUUUUUAGCAAAUCUCUUUCUCUCUCUCUCUUUUUUUUAUUUGUAGGGCUACACCCGUGGCAUAUGGAAGUUCCCAGUCUAGGCGUUGAGUUGGAUCUGAGCUAUGUCUGUGACUUACACCACAGCUCGCUGCAACGGGGUAUCUUUAACCCACUGAAGAGGCCAGGGAUGGAACCUGCAUCCUCAUGGAGCCCAGUCGGGUUCAAAGGUUCUUUACCACUGAGCCAGAUGGGGAACUCCAGCAAAUCUCUUUUAAAUGAGCUUUUAUGGCAUAUGGAAAAUUUGUAAGUUGUCCAGAAAAUGGGUGUAGAGUAAGGUAAAUGAUAGGUGAGAAAGAACGAAAGAGUAUUUUGAAAAAUAAAAUACAAGCUUAAAUUUUCAUAAUGUUUAUAUGUAUGCUAACACUGAAGAUGGUUUAUAAUGAAGAACAGAUGAAGUCAUCCUCCUUGUAGUCUUUCAAGUUAAACUGCAAAGAUUCACAAUGGAAGAUAGAACUACGGAGAAAAGUUUGGCUUUGCUGGGAAUGGUGCCAAUACUGGAAGACAAAAAUAAGGUAGAAAGCAAAGUAUUAUGGAUGAAUUCCUCUGUGGAUUUGUUGAUAUCCUGUAACUUAUAUACUAAGGUGUAAAAGUGAAAAAUACUCUGCUUUACAUCCUGUGUUAUGUGAUAAGGGAAAGGAAACAGAAUGUUAGUUUUAUAUAUAUUGAUAUAUAAUCUAAGCAAAUUAUUACACAUUCAUAAUGAAAUAAGCAGGAAAUGCUUAUGUCAGUUGCAGCCCAGUUCCUAUAACUAGUCAUGUGGUUAUAAUUGGUAUUUAUAACAACCUUUUCCAACUAUCUAUUCUGUCUUCUCUUUUCUGUCAACAAGUGCCUCAGAUGGUUGUGGUUCUUUGCAUGGUGGGGUGACCCAAACCUUCAUUCCUGAAGAGUUUCAACCAUUAGUAGUCCUGCCUGGAUUGAUUAUUGUAGAUUUCCAUUGACUUUAAUAACACAGCAUGGUCAUACUAAGAGAUGCAUUAAUCUCUUCUAUUCCAGACUGAAUGAAUUCCUUAUCUCCAUUGUGGAGUUGCUGUCCAAUUUCUUCUUGAUAGUCUUCUUGAUAGUCAGGAUGAGUCACCCCUGCCGGCAGAGUAACUUCCUUCUUUACUUGUUGAUUCCUAGGUAUGAGGAGUCCACGGUGGCCUAGUGGCAUUCUUAACUCUCAUUUCAGUGGAAUCAUUGUUGCAUUUCCUCGUGGUAGCAUCUUUCUUUUGGAACUAAGACUUCUAAGCUAGCAGAGCGUAAGGUCACAGGAACAGAGAGCAGGCAUUUUGCUAAUAAGUCACUAGUAGAAAUAGUGGUACCAUUCCCAUUUCUACUGCUUGUUUUCUAGACCUAUGAAUCCUGGCCAUGAGAAACAGCACUAUGUAUCAAAUGCUGAUUCAGAGCAUACACAGCAUUGUGAGCACUUUGCCCCACUUCUGCAAGUUCUAGUCACCUAGCUAGCACUGUAACUGAGCCUUCAAAAGGCAGUUCUACCGUUCUGUUAAGCCACCUGCUUCAGGGUGACGGGAAACAUGGUAAGAUCAGUGUAAGUUCCAUGAGUGUAGGUCCACUACCUCACUUCAUUUGCUGUGAAGUGAGUUCCUUGAUCAGAAACAAUGUCAUGUAGAGUACUAAGAUGGUUAAUAAAGUAUUCUGUAAGUUCACAGGUGGUAGUUUUGGCAGAAGCAUUGUGUACAGGGAAGGCAAAUUUAUAUCCAAAGUAAAUGUUUAUUCAGUAAGAACAAAACCUUACCCCCUUCUCUGAUGGAAUCAGCCAGUGUGAUCAACCUGCCACCAGGUAGCUGGCUAGUACCUGAGGAAUGAUGCCACAUCAGGGACUCAGUGUUGGUCCCUGCUGUUGGGCUCUCAGCAGUGGCCAUAGCUAGGUUGGCCUUGGUGAGUGGAAGUCCAUGUUGCUGGACCCACACAUAAUCUCUGUCCCUGUCAUCAUGGCAACUUUGUUCAUGAGCACACUGAGUGAUGCCGGGGUGGGAGGUGCUGGGGGUAAAGUGAUUGGCCACAGACCAGGAAUCAGUACAUAACCAUAUGUCUCAUCAUUUCUCCUUCCAAUCAAAGUGAACAACCACAUCUACUGCUGUUAGUCUGCUCAUCAGAAGGAUUUCCUUCACCACUGUCCUUCAGGGAUGUCCCAGAAUGAAGGGCACUAGUGUUAUGGCCUUCCACUUUUGGGUGGUGCUUGCAUAUUGUCCAAAAUCAUCUGUACACCAGGGAAGGUAUGGAGGGUGAGAGACAAGAAAAAGAUGUUAGGAUCAGUGAAUUUGCAGGUUCUGGUGGGGUCCAGCUUCCAGUAGAGGUGGUGAGCUGGAAAAAUAGGAGAUGGUAGUCAGAAAAUGAGAUACCUCAAAUUGAGAUGAUGAGAGGCAAUACACUCAUCCUUUAGUACCUUCAAGGAUUGGUUUCAGGACCCCUCAGAUAAUCAAAAUCCACGGAUGCUCAGUCCCUCAUAUAAAAUAGCCUAUGAUUUGCAUGUAUCCUAUGCAUGGCCUCCUAUAUGCUUUGAAUCAAUGUACAGUUGACCCUUAAGCAAUGUGGAAAUUAGGGGUACUGACCCUUUGUGCAGUGGAAUAUCCAUGUAUAACUUUACAGCCCUCUGUAUCUUUGGUUCCACCUUCACAGAUUCAACCAACCAUGGAUCAUGUAGUACCAUAGUACUUAGUGAAAAGAAAAAAAAAAAAAAAAA
This 3066-nucleotide long non-coding RNA is filed under the name Sus scrofa (pig). RNAcentral describes it as "lncRNA (ENSSSCG00025059723.1, ENSSSCG00035039378.1)". Lineage: Eukaryota; Metazoa; Chordata; Mammalia; Artiodactyla; Suidae. The record is from RNAcentral.